UACGUAGGGUGCAAGCGUUAAUCGGAAUUACUGGGCGUAAAGCGUGCGCAGGCGGUUUUUUAAGUCAGAUGUGAAAUCCCCGGGCUUAACCUGGGAACUGCGUUUGAAACUACAAGGCUAGAGUGUGGCAGAGGGGGGUGGAAUUCCACGUGUAGCAGUGAAAUGCGUAGAUAUGCGGAGGAACACCGAUGGCGAAGGCAAUCCCCUGGGCCUGUACUGACGCUCAUGCACGAAAGCGUGGGGAGCAAACAGG
RNAcentral lists this ribosomal RNA (253 nucleotides) under uncultured bacterium. RNAcentral describes it as "partial 16S ribosomal RNA". It matches the Rfam family "Bacterial small subunit ribosomal RNA", at positions 524 to 776 of the family's 1533-position model. The record is from RNAcentral.